UGUCUUGUAAAUGGAAUGAUGGUGACCUAAACCCUCACCAGAGUAACAAUUGGAGGGCAAGUCUGGUGCCAGCAGCCGCGGUAAUUCCAGCUCCAAUAGCGUAUAUUAAACUUGUUGCAGUUAAAAAGCUCGUAGUUGAAUUUCUGCGUUAUCGAUUUCGUUGCUUCUGCUUCGUUUCGAUUUCGCUUUUGGGUUUUUCCCUUUUUACUUUGAGAAAAUUAGAGUGUUUCAAGCAGACUUUUGUCUUGAAUACUUCAGCAUGGAAUAAUAGAGUAGGACUUUGGUUCUAUUUUGUUGGUUUACGAACCUUAGUAAUGGGUAAUAGGAACGGUGGGGGGCAAA
This 342-nucleotide ribosomal RNA is filed under the name Babesia sp. Its description in RNAcentral is "SSU rRNA". It matches the Rfam family "Eukaryotic small subunit ribosomal RNA", at positions 499 to 892 of the family's 1831-position model. Lineage: Eukaryota; Apicomplexa; Aconoidasida; Piroplasmida; Babesiidae. The record is from RNAcentral.